UGGUUUUCUGAAACAGGUGAUUUGACUUU
This 29-nucleotide non-coding RNA is filed under the name Mus musculus (house mouse). The record is from RNAcentral. Lineage: Eukaryota; Metazoa; Chordata; Mammalia; Rodentia; Muridae.